Molecule: ribosomal RNA, 541 nt
Filed under: uncultured Cytophagales bacterium
Lineage: Bacteria; Pseudomonadati; Bacteroidota; Sphingobacteriia; Sphingobacteriales
Description: bacterial SSU rRNA
Rfam family: Bacterial small subunit ribosomal RNA
Source: RNAcentral
UAGGGAAUAUUGGGCAAUGGACGCAAGUCUGACCCAGCCAUGCCGCGUGCAGGAAGAAGGCGUUAUGCGUUGUAAACUGCUUUUAUACAGGAAGAAACGACUCUUGCGAGAGGCAUUGACGGUACUGUAUGAAUAAGCACCGGCUAACUCCGUGCCAGCAGCCGCGGUAAUACGGAGGGUGCAAGCGUUAUCCGGAUUCACUGGGUUUAAAGGGUGCGUAGGCGGGCAGGUAAGUCAGUGGUGAAAUCCUGGAGCUCAACUCCAGGACUGCCAUUGAUACUAUCUGUCUUGAAUAUUGUGGAGGUAAGCGGAAUAUGUCAUGUAGCGGUGAAAUGCUUAGAUAUGACAUAGAACACCCAUUGCGAAGGCAGCUUACUACGCAUAUAUUGACGCUGAGGCACGAAAGCGUGGGGAUCAAACAGGAUUAGAUACCCUGGUAGUCCACGCCCUAAACGAUGGAUACUCGACAUACGCGAUACACUGUGUGUGUCUGAGCGAAAGCAUUAAGUAUCCCACCUGGGGAAGUACGUUCGCAAGAAUG